Monodelphis domestica (gray short-tailed opossum) is the source of this 579-nucleotide long non-coding RNA. RefSeq lists it as uncharacterized. The record is from RefSeq and is a predicted model, not a curated record. NCBI's taxonomy places the organism in Eukaryota, Metazoa, Chordata, Mammalia, Didelphimorphia, Didelphidae.
UCUUCUGUGUUCACUGGCAUUCCAACAGCCAGAGUGCCUGAUCACUUUUCAAAAGCUAUUGUAUUUUGCAAGUUUUCCCAAGGGGGGGAGAAAAGUGUGAGAAGUGCAUAGGCCAUCCCAGAAUCCCACCAACCCUACUUACUUCUUCCUUUGCCCCAUAAAUGAUACGAGGACAUUUUUGACUUAAUUUGAGCUGGAUCCUUCAGACGGCACACAGAAAUCCAGAGUCGAUCCUCUUUUACAAGCAUAAAAAACGAGCAUUGUUGGUGGCACUGGGAGACUGAACCAAGGCUUUGGCUGGACCCAAAGCAGUCGCCCCCUGGAUAAACAGCUGCUGAUGCAACUAAAAUAAGCGCCAGAGACCAAAAGGUGGAUAUGUUUGCUGGAAAACAGAGAUGGAAAAAAGCCCUUCAAGCGACACACAGAUGACUAAUGUAUUUCAGACUCCAGCAUCAGAGAGUAGCAAACGAUAUUUUCUUGUGAUUUUAUUUUCCCCCUGAGAACUACAUCAAUAGUAUAAGUGCUACAUUGAUAAAAGAAAUUAUUCUAUUCUGAAAUGAAAGAUUCGAAAAAAAUGAA